RNAcentral lists this ribosomal RNA (460 nucleotides) under uncultured bacterium. Its description in RNAcentral is "partial 16S ribosomal RNA". It matches the Rfam family "Bacterial small subunit ribosomal RNA", at positions 338 to 795 of the family's 1533-position model. The record is from RNAcentral.
CCUACGGGUGGCAGCAGUGAGGAAUAUUGGUCAAUGGGCGCGAGCCUGAACCAGCCAAGUAGCGUGAAGGAUGACUGCCCUACGGGUUGUAAACUUCUUUUAUCAAGGAAUAAAGUGAGGCACGUGUGCCUUUUUGUAUGUACUUUAUGAAUAAGGAUAGGCUAAAUCCGUGCCAGCAGCCGCGGUAAUACGGAGGAUCCGAGCGUUUUCCGGAUUUAUUGGGUUUAAAGGGGGCGUAGAUGGGUUGUUAAGUCAGUGGUGAAAGGUUGCGGCUCAACCGUAAAAUUGCAAUUGAUACUGGCAGUCUUGAGUACAGUUGAGGUAGGCGGAAUUCGUGGUGUAGCGGUGAAAUGCUUAGAUAUCACGAAGAACUCCGAUUGCGAAGGCAGCUUACUAAACUGCCACUGACAUUGAUGCUCGAAAGUGUGGGUAUCAAACAGGAUUAGAUACCCUUGUAGUC